GAUGAACGCUGGCGGCGUGCCUAAUACAUGCAAGUCGAGCGAACAGACGAGGAGCUUGCUCCUCUGACGUUAGCGGCGGACGGGUGAGUAACACGUGGAUAACCUACCUAUAAGACUGGGAUAACUUCGGGAAACCGGAGCUAAUACCGGAUAAUAUAUUGAACCGCAUGGUUCAAUAGUGAAAGACGGUUUUGCUGUCACUUAUAGAUGGAUCCGCGCCGCAUUAGCUAGUUGGUAAGGUAACGGCUUACCAAGGCAACGAUGCGUAGCCGACCUGAGAGGGUGAUCGGCCACACUGGAACUGGGACACGGUCCAGACUCCUACGGGAGGCAGCAGUAGGGAAUCUUCCGCAAUGGGCGAAAGCCUGACGGAGCAACGCCGCGUGAGUGAUGAAGGUCUUCGGAUCGUAAAACUCUGUUAUUAGGGAAGAACAAAUGUGUAAGUAACUAUGCACGUCUUGACGGUACCUAAUCAGAAAGCCACGGCUAACUACGUGC
This 498-nucleotide ribosomal RNA is filed under the name uncultured bacterium. RNAcentral's name for it is "partial 16S ribosomal RNA". It matches the Rfam family "Bacterial small subunit ribosomal RNA", at positions 28 to 508 of the family's 1533-position model. The record is from RNAcentral.